CCCUGCUCCCACAAAAUGGUAGCCGCCGUGGGGGAUGUCCAGUUUUUUUUCCUCUUCCCAAGUACAGACGCAGAGCAGACUUGUCUUUCCGCUUAACCUCAACCUCGUGUGAUCUGCCAGUUUCGCUCCCGACGCCAAAUUCCAGCGAAACAGCUGAUGCCAGCCAGCUUGAAGACCCCUGCCACAGAAGAAGGGAAUCAGCAUGAGAAUACAGCUUCUUCAUCUCGCUGUCCCAUGACUUCGCCCUGUACUCUUCAGCCAAUUAAUGAUCUCCACACUUGGGACCACUCUAAAACCCUUAAGAACCUGAGACUCAAAGUCCUCCUGGAGACGAAUUUGAGGUUUCCUCCUAUCUGUGUUUGGUGGCCCUAUGAUUAAACCUCUUUCUCUUCUGCAACCUGGUGUCCCAGUGUAUUAACUUGCCAUGGGCAUCAGACAACAAACCUAUAUAUAGUAUCCCAAAUAUGGUGCUCCACUUUGAAACCUGAAGAAAUCCUGCAAUUGAGUUAGCCUUUUGAAAUAAAAAUUAUUUCAAAUUUUA
RNAcentral lists this long non-coding RNA (541 nucleotides) under Homo sapiens (human). RNAcentral's name for it is "non-protein coding lnc-SCRN3-1:5". The record is from RNAcentral. Lineage: Eukaryota; Metazoa; Chordata; Mammalia; Primates; Hominidae.